This 380-nucleotide ribosomal RNA is filed under the name uncultured organism. RNAcentral's name for it is "partial 16S ribosomal RNA". It matches the Rfam family "Bacterial small subunit ribosomal RNA", at positions 527 to 897 of the family's 1533-position model. The record is from RNAcentral.
GUAGGUGGCAAGCGUUGUCCGGAAUUAUUGGGCGUAAAGCGCGCGCAGGUGGUUCGUUUAAGUCUGAUGUGAAAGCCCCCCCGGGCGUCAACCCGGGGGAGGGUCAUUGGAAACUGGGGAACUUGAGUGCAGGAGAGGAAAGUGGAAUUCCACGUGUAGCGGUGAAAUGCGUAGAUAUGUGGAGGAACACCAGUGGCGAAGGCGACUUUCUGGCCUGUAACUGACACUGAGGCGCGAAAGCGUGGGGAGCAAACAGGAUUAGAUACCCUGGUAGUCCACGCCGUAAACGAUGAGUGCUAAGUGUUGGGGGGUUUCCGCCCCUCAGUGCUGCAGCUAACGCAUUAAGCACUCCGCCUGGGGAGUACGGUCGCAAAGACUGA